CGCAAGCCUGACGGAGCAAGACCGUGUGGGGGAGGAAGGCUCUUGGGUUGUAAACCCCUUUUCUCAGGGAAGAACCAAAUGACGGUACCUGAGGAAUCAGCCUCGGCUAACUCCGUGCCAGCAGCCGCGGUAAUACGGAGGAGGCAAGCGUUAUCCGGAAUGAUUGGGCGUAAAGCGUUCGUAGGUGGCUAUUCAAGUCUGCUGUCAAAGACAGAAGCUCAACUUCUGAAAGGCAGUGGAAACUGAGUAGCUGGAGUGCGGUAGGGGCAGAGGGAAUUCCCGGUGUAGCGGUGAAAUGCGUAGAGAUCGGGAAGAACACCGGUGGCGAAAGCGCUCUGCUGGGCCGCAACUGACACUGAGGGACGAAAGCUAGGGGAGCG
This 380-nucleotide ribosomal RNA is filed under the name uncultured cyanobacterium. RNAcentral describes it as "bacterial SSU rRNA". It matches the Rfam family "Bacterial small subunit ribosomal RNA", at positions 376 to 770 of the family's 1533-position model. Lineage: Bacteria; Bacillati; Cyanobacteriota. The record is from RNAcentral.